GCUCCAUCCUGGCUGAGCCGCGGUGCCGCAGGCCAGGGGAUCCGCAGCACGCGGCCGUUGGCCUCAGUAGGUUUCAGUGUUAACAAGACUCACUUCGGCUGCUUUUUUGCUCCGUUUCAGGCGCCCGGCGCAGACCGGGGCUGGACUGCUUCCAUUUGGUUCUCAUGUUGGACGGCAUUGCAUUCAGAUCACGAGAGCUGGCAUCAAUUUUUGUUAAACUGCCGUUUUCGGAGGUUGGCGGGAAGAAGCCGCGCACUGGGGCUGCCCAGGGCUGAGCCAGCGCCCGGCCAGCUGGCAGCGAUGCUCCACGGACCCAGCCCUGCGGGACCCAGCCCUUUCUUCACCUCCAAACACCGCGGGCUUUUUUGUUCCCUUUGUUUGAAAGGGUUUGGGUUUUCUGUGGCCGCCCCGCGGGGAGAAGCUGGUCCCAGUCUGGGGAGAGGAACGCUUCUGCCCCGUUCCCUGCUUGCGAAAGCUCCCAGCGUGACUCCCGGCAGCUCCUGAGCUGCGUUUGUGCUCGCUGCCCGCCUGGCCAGCUCAGCCCCGGCCCCGCAGCUGCCUGCAGCACAAGGGAGAAGAAACCACAAACGUUUUCUUCCUGGAGCCAGCGAGCAUCAAAGGGGCAACCUCUGGCGAGGGCUGCGCGACCGCUGUGUCUGGCAUCUGCUCCGGGAGCGCGUCCCUUCAGACCUCCUGCUCCGGGAAAGAAGGCCUGUGGAAAUGUGGUAGAUGCCCGGUGUAGUGAGCACAAGCAGCUGUGCCACCUCCUCUUGUGCCCAGCGGUUUGGUGGCUUAACCCUCAAAUUCUGCUGCUGAGUCUUAAAAAAAGGCACCGCAGGCGUGGAUGGAAUAAAAGCACUUUAUGGAGGGACUGAGCAAAUCAGACUUGAACCGACCGUGCUUCGCAUGUGCAGGGAAAGGCUUCAAGGCCAAUGUUUCCAUCUAGGGUUUCCUCCCCAAGCCACAAGCCCCGCUCCUGCACCCCACUUUGUGCUGGCACUUCUGCUUCACCCAUCCUGGGCCGGGUCCCCGUGUCCCUCUCAACGGACGCAGCAGCAACAUGAAUUUCACCUUGACUGCAGCUGUUGGUGCCUCUGGGUUACUGAGCUGCUGCAGGAGCCAGCAGCGAGUUUCCAGAUGAAGACCUUUGAUUAGUUGUAGCUGCUGCAUCCCACCUCCAGCUAAGGACAAGGCUCCACUGGUCUGCAGCCCCAGCUCCCCCCACCUCCAGCUUCCCAGGUAACAACUUUUUUGCAAAGAUGGGUUCAGAUUUUUCAAGGAAGGUGUCUGGGCUCUUUCUGCCCCCCCAGGUUGCCCCACUCUUUUUAGCCCCUGAGAAUCAUUUGCAGGGGAAGGUGUAGCAUGUAUAAAUCAUGCUGGGAAGCAGCCAGAGCAGCCCGGUAUGUGUCACCCAGCACAGCUGGGCACAACUGGUAAUUAUUACCGCUCCCCCCCGCAAAAAAAGACAAGGCGGGGGGGGCUGCUGCUCAUUCGGUCUGGGUCAGAGACGGGAUGGCCUGCUGGUGUGCUGGGCACCAAAGAUCUUUCCCAGCAUCUUUGGAAGACUGUUUUUCCCUGGUGAGACAGUUGCCCAGGGCUGCAAGUUCACUCAGCACCAAGGAUGGUGGGUUGCAGAAGGGAGCAAAUAGAACUUUAUGAACCAUUAUAGAAAAUGUCAAAUCACUGGAAUAAUAAAUAAUGCAGUAAGAGGUAAUUAAUUAUCUCUAUUUAUGCUGUGCUGCCUGGUUAUUGAUUUAGAUGUGUUUUCAGCCCAGGCAGCUGUGACUCCUUCAGAAUUUCAUCUGUGCUUUUCCAUCUUCCCUUUGUGAAAGCCACUGUUAAAGCUGCAGGACUGCGUGGGCCUCGCUGCCUCCUGGCCCAGGAGCUGGUCCCGUAUUUCCCUGGCACAGCCCACCCUGUGCCACACUGGGCACUUGUGCCUCUGUCAGCACAGAUGUGGCCACGGUGUUGAGAUCCGACCGCAGGGACAGAAAAACAACCCACGGCUGAACCCUGGGAAUGACAGCACGGACGUGCUCACGUCCCACCCCUUGCUGGUGCAGUGAUGUCAGAGACACCAGAUGUCUCCCUUACUGCCCAAUUUAACGAUGCCUAAUGAGGUCACUUCCAUAAAAGAGGAGCUAUUUCCUGGGAGCCAUUUGCUAAUGUAAUUACAUCUGCUUUAAUGCCUGGUUUUAGCGACUGGCGGGGAGCAGGGCCCUUGUGAAAAGCAAAGCAAGGAGGGACCAGUUCAGCAGUCACCACCGCAACAUGUCUGUCCGUCCUUCCAAACCUGGAACUUUUCAGUGUCUUUUCCAGAAACAGGUUGGGUUGGCUCUUCUGGGUCCGACCGGCACCUCUGGAUCAGGAGUUUCCCCGGUAGCUGCUGGUUUGGGCUGGAGCGGGGGGGUUGGAGGGUCCCACCAGCCCAGGCUCCGCUGUGCUUAGGGCAGCUGCACAAUUCACCGCUCAGAUUCGGUAACACGUGUCACCUGUGACUGCAAUUGCUGCUGUGCCCUGGGCUGGCUUUUCAUCCUAUUUGCGCACAGAAGCGAUAGAAAGGCCAUUCCAGGGAUACGCCACGUGCCACGUCAUUUGUAAGUGUAAAAGAUGAGUUUUAAUGACUUGUCAUAUCUGGUAUCUUGGAGGCACUGGAGCCUGGAGGAUUUUUUUUGCUGAUUUUUUUCUUAGAAAAUUGAGUUAGUACAGACAUCAUUCUGAGCAAUUUCAUUAAAAUCAAUAGGAAAGGGCUGUGCCCCCAGAGGCCAUCCCACUCCUCUUGCUGAACUUGGUGGGUGAAACACAACCAUGAGCAUCUGUCGGGGCAGAGCAGCCAUAGAAACAACAGCUCCAGCCCUUCCCGCUCGAGCGCAGCUUUAAUUAAAAAAUAAACUGUCAGACACCAUAAAAAAUUAAAACUUAAAUGCUUUUUACAUCCAUCUGCAAGUCUCCUGAGCAAGGCUGGUGAGUCAGAGCGGCUGCUGCUCCCUGCCUGUCCUCAAAGGCUCCGUGUCCACAUGCAGGAACCCGGUCCCUCUGCUGGCACCUGAUGUUGUCCCCUGUGGGUGGCAGGUGGGGACCGUGUCCACCCGUCAGUGUGGCUGUCAGCAAGAAGCAGGGGAGCCAGAACCCCUCCUGCAGGUUCCCAGGACUGCUUUCAGUGCUUUCAUUUAAUUUUGUAAGGAUUUUUCAGCUCCGUCGUGGAUGUGGCAGGUGUCACCAGAUGAGCGUUGUGACUGCACAGCAGGGUCAGUGCAGAGGGAGCUGCCGCUGUGCCGGGGAGCAAAUGGGACAACAGGUAACGGGUGCCAGGGCUGGCCCUGCUCUGUUUUGGGGUCACAGUGACGGGGACAGCCAGCUAUCCCACAGGGGAACUUUUCAUCUGCCUUGUCUUGCUCUUCGUGCUUUGAUCUUUUCCCCACACCAGUAACCGGGGUAGUUUAUCACUGCUCUGCAAGAGGAAAGAUUUAGAAAAUUACAGCGCUGCUUCCUUGCCAGGCCACCACUGAAUUAUUUAAUCUCUUCUGAAAAAUCAGCCCUGUGUCUGUUGUGGAGGGAAACUCCCCAAGCUCUGCCUGGAGCCUCGCUCUCUCCUUUUAACAGAGCUAUUUUUGCAUUCAUCUGCUUUUUGCUGUUACUGCUCGCGGUCAAGACACACAAACCCCUGUCCAGCACGCUGGGGUUGAUAAAACUUGCUCAAUUCCCAAGCGUGCUGCUGCUCUUGUGUGAUUAUUCCUGUUAAUUACUUCCUUCGUAGCAGAAGCCAGAUGCAAAGGCACCGGCUCUGGGCGCUGCUUGGCUCUUGCCCUUGCAUCUGCAGCCGCAGCUCUCCGUGCUGUUGGCAGGAGGACGGACGGCAGCGCUGCAAGGAACUUCACUGCUGGCGCUCGGAGCCGUGGCCGCAUUCCCACUGCGAUCACCCGGUGAGGCCCCGGAGCUUCCCCUGCAGCUGCUCCCAAAAUGUUAUUCCAAAAUAUUUCCCUUCCCAGUGGUUUUCUGGGUAUUUGGGUGCUGGAUGUGCAGGGGUUGAAAAAAGGUCGUAGGUAGGCGCCGGAUAGAGACUCGAACUCUUGUGGGUUACUCUGAGCAGUAUUUAUUGUAGAAGAUUCGCAGGAACAGCAGCGUUGGGUCACCUCCUCAGAGAGUGACAAUCAUACAGCAGUAUAACUAGUCAUUAUAUAGGGUUCUAACAGGUAUUACGCAGGUAAGCAAAAUUUAUCACUGUCUAUCACUGUCGAUAUCCUCAAGUUCCUUCUGUCCCAGUGGUCUGCGGGUUCCACUUCUUCUUUCUUGGCAAGUACCGAACGAAAGGUCAUCAGUCGCAGGGCUAGCUUCUUUUGAAGUUCUACCUGUCUCAUUUGUUAUCCAUAGUUCAUCGGUCUAGCACAGAAAUCAGCAACCCUAAGAAUAGCAUUUAUCUAUGUCUUAACUAAGGGUACAAAGCAAGCAUAAGGUAACCACGCUCGUGGUUCUGGGUAAGGGCUAUACAGGGGACAAGCUGAGAUUUUCAGCCUUAGCAGCACAGCUUAUAACACUGAUAUAGGCCUAAAAUCCUAAUUUCCUAUUUCCCUACAACAGGGAUGUGUUGGUCAGAGCAGAGGAUGCAGGAAUGGGGGCCGGGGCUGGGUACCAAACCCAUCGCAUCCUCCCCGAGAUGGGGUGAUCUGCCCCUGGGAACCCCAGGACAUGUGGCAGAUCCAUGCAGUGCCCAGCUGCUGAUCUGCACCUGGGCGUGGAAUGGGCUUUGCGGCAGAUGUGGAUGCUUUUGGGCAGCAGGUGCAUUGGCAGAGGGGCUGUGGGGCAGCGUUACUCUGGGCUCAGAGCAAUCUCGACACGGCUGAUAAAACAGGGCCAUUAAACCCAGACCUGACGGAGUUUCCUCUCCCUCUGGAUCAAUUCACUGCGUGUUUAUUGACCGAUGGGGUUGUCCCAUGCACAUAAGCUGUUUCUGCUUCUUCUUCCCGGGCUUGCUGGGCUCUUGCUGAUCACUUUUGCUCCAGUUUCCACAUGGGAAAAGCCCAGCUUGUGUUGAAGGACAGCGAAGAUGAUGCUCAGAAGGAGCAUCACUGAGUCAUUUACUCCCUACUCACCCAUAGGAGCACACGUGCCACAGCCCACAGGCUGUACCGUGUGUCUGUUCCAGGAGAAAUCAGGUUAAUAACCUUCCUGGUGGGACUGUGAAUAGAAAGAGGAUUUUGGGCAGCAGGUUGCAGCUUGGCCUGUGCUGAGCUCCCCCUGUAAAGCAACAGAACCCUCUGUGGAUUUGCUCUUCGGAGGCUGGACAGUCCUCAGAGGGACCAAAGCCUGCGGUCCCCUCCCCGGUGCACAGGCAGGGACAUCUGCUGCAAACACUGUGGGGACAACCUGCGUGCAAGGCGCUGGCACGAAACGGUGCCGUGCAAAGUGCUUGCGUGAGCCGGCUGUGGAGGAGCGCAGGCUGGGGGUUAUUCACGUGUGCUUUUGAGCUAUGAUGCAAUUGGGGAAAUUUUCAGUCCUUUCCGAGCCGAGGAUCCCUGCCAGGUGCUGGGACACCUCCGCCACCUGCACAUCACUCCCCACACUGUGUGGUGGACAGACAGCACUUGUCCCAGAGAAGAGGCUUUUUUAAAGCACCUUUGCAGCAUUAAAUGCCCGGGACUGGUGACAGACGCAGCGUGAGAGCUCUUGCGCUGGUACCUGUGUGCCCAGGGCCGGCAGCCGGGUCUGUGUGGAGCUCUGCACCUCCGCUGCUGCCUUGCAGACCUCCUCUGGAAUGAAGCUGGAGAAAGAAAACCUGUCUCAGUAGGACGAAAACAGGGGCAGAGAAAAGGCCACCCACUGCUGUCACUGCUGCUGCAGCACACUUCAUUAGCAUGAGGUUAAUUAUACACUGAGCAAUGGUCUAAUCAGCAGUGAUGUGGUGGGCUGGCAGGAGGGAGUGCUGUCUGCACCUUGUUUCUCCACAAGCCAGUCACUAUCGAACACAGCUGCUGCAAAACCCCUUUGCCCCCCGUCGCUGCUGAGUUUUGGCUUUUUGGAAGGAAAAAACCCAACCCAGUGAAAAUUACCCUCCAAAGCUUACAGAUUUCAGCCCUUGCAGGCUGAGGUGGAGAUCCUGCCCUGGGGCCAGGGACAUGCCGGCAGGAUGUCCCCAGUCCCCUGAGGAAGGCUUGUGCUGGUCGGUGCUCAGGCCAGGGAUGCUACGGAAAUAGCUCUUGAUUGACCUUUUUUGGCUAUUUUAACAGAUUUUUUUCGUUUCUUUUCUGGAGAAAAAACAGUUUUGUUUUUUAAGAAAAGCCGCAGUCUGACAUGGCGAGGGCAGGCACAGGGCGCUGCUGGGCACCUGGAGCUCUUUCCGGUGCUCCAAGACCCACUCCUGAAAAACACAGCCUUCGAAAAAGCCAUCAGGUUUUUGUUUUGGCCUUUUCCAAGAGAAAAGGGAAGCCAUGGCCCUUCCUUGGUGGGGCGGCUGGAGGGGAGGAGGAGAGACCCCGCGGGGUGUGCAGGUGGGAUCCAUCCAAACCUCGACAGGAGCGGGAGGCAUCGCGGGGGCUGGAUGCUGGGGCACAUCCCAGGAGGAGCCCUGGGGAACCCUCCAACGCUGGGGAUCAAACCUGUUCUGGGAUCUGAGCUCUCCCUGCUCCAGCCCAGCUGAGCACAGGAUUUGGGGAUUUAGGGAAAAAUUAGUGGUGGUGAGUAAAUAGGUGAAGGCAGAGGAAGAUGGGGGUGGGCAGCAGCACGGCUUCUCUGGCACAAGAUGGGAUAAAAACCAUCUCUGAUGGAAACAUCAGACUCGGUGCUGGGUGAUGAUUUAAUAACUUUUAUGGGCGAAUCUGUCUCGGGCAGUCUGGCUGCUCAGGCAGUGACUCAGCCCAGCGCCGGCUGUGAUCCACGCCGGGGACGAGGGACGCGUUUCACCCCUUCCCAACCACUCAGAAAGGCAAGUUCUUGGAGGAACCUUCUCUCUUUUGGCCCUCCAAGGGAUGCAAGACCCAAGCGCAGCAGCAAGAGUCUCCUGGUGAGUGUCCAGAUGUGGCGUUUGGGGGCAGAAAGGGAAUUCCCACAUGCGAGGGGCCUCUCCCAGGCUUGGUGGAGGAGGAGUUGCUUUUCCUUUUUCUUUCUCCCGCUAUUUGAGGAUGUAGCUGAACGGCCACAAUGAGGCUCUCUUGCUUUCCAUUCGAAGUCUGCUUCACGUAACCCUUUUCCAGUGGUUUACAGGGGGAAUAUUUGUGAUUAUGGAGAGAAAAACGUGAAUGCUUUGCAGUAUUUUCUAAAGAGCUGCCGUCUCUGUGCACGGCCCUGCCAAAACACUUGCUCACAGGAGUGUUUGUAGGAAGUGAGGAUGCAGUGGGAGCAGAUCCACCUCCCGGUGCACGGAGAAGCUGCUUUGUCACCAACGGGGGGGGUGGUACUAAGGCUGCUCACCCUAGGGGUCCAGGAUGCUCUGACAACCAGGCCGUCCCCUCGUGUGCUCCAUGGGGCAGGGUACCCAGCACUGCGCUGGCACCAGGGAUGCUCCACCGGCCGGAUCAGAAUGUCAAAGCCCCAUCGCCAUCCAGCUGGAACACACCAACUGCUGGGGUGGCUUCUGCCAAUAACAGCGUUGAGCAUCACACAGCAACAGCUCCUUGGGGCUCUGUGAUCUCCAGCAGAGACACCGGCAUUGAGCUCCAGCAGCACAAAUCAGCCCCCUGCCCCGGGGAGGUGGCCCACGUGGCCUUUGGAGCAGGCGUUUGGAGGCCUCUCUUUACUCUUUUUUCAUUACAGCACUUUGCACUACGUUUUAUAAUGCAAUUUCUGGAAGCAGUAGUGAAAAGCAUCUGCUGACAAACACCUCCCGUGGCCACCAGCACUGCCGAGCAGCACCGGGGCCCAGGGCAGCAGCUGAGCAGAGACCCUACAUGGAGCUGGACGCCUUUUGAUGUCUCAUCCUUCCUGACUAAGUCCUUACUGAGCAGAAGAGAAGGGGAGAGGGGGCGACUGCGUCUCUGCAAAUCCCGUUCCAUCACAGAGCCACAUAAAUCACCACCAGCCAGGUUCCCUGAGAGCCUGCUGCUGAAUUCCCUAUCUUUACAGUGCCAGAAAGAAUUUAAAAUAUGAAUGUCACUGCUAGUGCUUGGCACAGCCUUCUGGAGCUGCUUAAUGCUCAUCUCUCCCUGCAGAAUGAGCUUGAUGCAUUUCACAAGGCCUCCCCAAGUUUUCGUGUUGCCAAAGGGAGAAGUAAUCCCCUUAAUUCAUUACAGUGACCUUUAGGAGAACAAAUACCCCAGAUGAGAUGUUUCUACGCCUCAGGUCUUGCUGUGUGGAGUAAGGUGAAUACUGCAUGCCACCAUGGUACCAAUGAGCUCCAAGAGCCACGAUCGAUCAGGCUGAGGACCAAACACUGUUCAGACGGGUGAAGACGCUCAUGCUUCUGCUUAUCCAUCCAGCGCCGCGCCCCAGGGCCAGCGAUGCCAAGGCAGGCUCACAGCCAGAUGGACACGACUGUUUAAUCCGCACUGACACCAGCAGCAAUGCCUGAGCGUUCACAGCGCUGUCAAAGGGCAAUAAUUCUUCACGUCCAUAAAAAAAUCCAGUUUUUCUGGGAGCGUGAAUGACUGUCAAAGGGUUCUUGGCAGUUGCUCUGGAUAUAGGCUGUUGUUGGGCACCACUGAAAGGAGUCUGGUCCAUUCUCUUGACACCCACCCUGAUGAUAUUUAUAAGCAUAAAUACAAUUCUCUUUCAGCCUUCUCUUCUCCUGGCUGAACAGCCCCAGCUCUCUCGGCCUUUGCUCACAGCAAAGGUGCUCCAGACCCCUCAUCAUCUUUGUGUCCCUCUGCUGGACUCUCUCCAGUAAUUCCUUGUCCUUCCUAACCUCGGGAGCCCAGAAUUGCACACAGUACUCAGAUGUGGCCUCACCAGGGCAGAGCAGCCUUACUUUUUGUUUUCUCAUACUUGUUUUUUUCCCCAGGGAUUAGAUUCUCUGCUCUGGUCCAGCAGCAGACACCAGGGGUGACUCUGGUGGCUGUGGCCCGUGGCUGGGAGGCUCCUGCACAGCUGGGGCAUGGGGGACCUGCCACCUCCCCGGGGCCAUGAACCCCACCAGGCUCAGCCUGUCAGCCUGCCCAGUGCCGGCUGUCUCAGCACAGACACCUUUUUGUCCUGUUCCUUCUCUCUCCUGCAGGGUUCUGCCACCAAGGCUGGAAGAGCCGCUGUGCCAGAGGAAGGUCUUGCGAUGCUCGGGAUGGUCGAAAGCACUGGUGCUGCUGGAGGGCAGGCACGGGCACAUGCUGAGCAGCUCACAAGCCUCUGCUCCUUCCCAAAUUGGGCUAAAUCCCACCACCUCUUGGAACAACAACUUGCGAGUUUGCAGCAAUCCCGAUGUGCACGUCAGACUGAUGCUGCGUCCUGCUGCUGCACUGGUGAUGCUGACUGAUGCUGCCGGUGGCUGCUGGAAGCCCACGGGUGGGCCAGGCUUCGCCUUGCUUGCUCCAGGUUCAUGGCCAGGAGACAAGGAAAAGCAGCUACUGGAUGGGAAACAAGCCUGAGCAAUAGCACCAGACAUCACCAUGGGGCUCCUGCUCACCAGAGCCCAGGUCGCACCAGCAGACUUCUGGUACCAGCAGCGAUGGUCUCAGGAUGCCAAAGGUAUGUUCAGCUCUGGACUUCAAAGCUCAAGAGCUUUCAGGCCCAGACUGUUGUUUCUGUUUAUAGAAAUAGUCUUAUAGCUCAGACCGUUCAAAUAGGGAUGUGUCACGAGAAGACAAAUUGGUAUCUGCAGUGGGCAGCAUGUCUUGGGCUACAGCAACCCAGAGCAAUGCCACGUUGUGUUUACUUGUGAAGCCACAUAGUGUUUACUUGGCUACAAAAUCAAUCAGGAUCUUGUCCUUAGGGUAGCUUUUCGUAGACGUUCAGAGGACAGAAGCAGACUCGGCCAUGCUCACAGCAGGGUGUGAGGACCAUGCUGAGCCCUGGGUUUAAGGGGCCAAGUAUGGCAGUGCCUAAGCGUUAGGCUGAGACCAACAAUAUGCAGAGAAAGGGAGUAGCUGAGCCCUGGUUCCCUUUUACCCAUGUUUCCAUCCAUCUAUGUUGCUCUGCAGCUCUCCAGGGUUUAUUAAGAGUCAGGGGAUGAAAGGCAGGGAGAAGCCCGUGGAAUCGGGAAGACGUGCUUCCCAAAGCCGCGCUCACCGCAGUGCAUGUCUGAGCCUCUAUCCGGGAACUUUCCAACACCCAGCUCAGAUCCUACUGUAAAAAUAGUUGCAAGUGUUAAUUGCAGGCAGUGACAGUUCAGCAAGCUCCUACCGAAACCUCAGCUGAACCUGGGAACGAGCAGAUAAAUAUGAUCCUUUCACAGCUUGCGGGAAAACUCGGGUUUUGCUGAAAGGGACGGACAGGCGGGAGAAGAGGGAGCAUGCUGUUUCUAUUCUUUUCAUGGCAGGAAUACAGUGUAUUUGCAAGGUUAUCUUUAAAUGGCAAAUUUCCUCUCCUAACUCCUCUAUUGCUAACAGCUUUGUUGUACAGCUUUCCUUGACAGCAUUUAUUUUUAAGGACAUAUUCUAUCAUUCCUCUGAUGUAUCACAGAGAUAAUUGGACUUUGUGUAUGUGGUGCAAGAGGCAUUGCCAGCCAUGCCAGAAACUGCCCCUGCCCAGGGCGGGCGCUUGUCCCCUCCUCACUGCAGUCCCUGCUCUUGCUAGCAGCACAGCUCUAAUGAGCCUGGAGAAAUUGGCUCUUAUUAUUAGUCAAUCGGAGAAAACAUUUCAGCAGCUCGUAAGAUCACCUCCUCGUGUUAACAGCACGUCCCUGCUUUUACUGAGCCUGGUUGUAGGAAGCUGGGGGGAUUUUUUCCCACCUUAAUCUGCAUUUCUGAGGGGCUCUCUGCCCCACCUGCACAGAAAUUUUGGUACAAGCAGGCUUAAAAACAAUGAUAUUCUACACUGCUAAGACAUGAGUAAAACACACCUAAGUACGUAAAGAUGGUUUUACAGUGCCACGGUGAUUUCACAGGCAAAAUGCUGCAGGUGGAGCUGAGGAGCAGGAGGAGGUUCCUCCAUCCACAGUGCAGAUUCCCAGGGAAAAAUGCUGCCCCAGAGGUGGCUGUGUCCCUCGGGGUGAAGGUGAGCAGAGCCAGGAUCAAACCCGAUGGGGCUUAUCCUCCUCCACCAUCCACAAAGUGGGUAAAACCCCUCUGGAGAUCGGGACAGUCGCGGGGUGCCACGGACCAUAACCCGCGGUGCUCAGCAGCCUCCCCUUCAGCUGGGAUUUUGGAGACGUCUGUGUCUGCGUCUCGCCAAGCACGUAAUUGCUGUUUGAAAUAAUUAUGCCUUGAAUUAAAAUAGCUCCUGCGCAGCUUGCAAAGCAUUUUGUCUUUCGUGCUGGAUAUCUCAGCAGGGAUAAGCCGUGCAGGUCGGAGCUGACGUGGGGCUGGGAGGUGAAUAUCCCACCUGAGACAGGGCAGGGGCUGCAGGUCUCCCAGCCCCAUGGCUGGCAGUGCCAGGGGCUGUGGCCACUUUGGGGCAUUUUGGAGUUUUCUGGAGGUUUCUGAGGUCAGGUUUUGGUUCUGGUGAUCCUACCCACGCUCAGUGUGUGGGACCCCCCUCCCUCCUGCGCUGCUCGGCCCCUCCUCGUCCCAUCCGCUUUGCAUGGUCAAUGGAAGAGCAUCAGCAGAUGUCUAAUUUGCUGCUUUGACUGUGUGUCAAAAAAUGACAUUUUUUUGCCAUGGCUGAUAAAAUUCUCUUUCCAUUCUGUGAUUUUUUUUUUUAAUUAUUUACUGAUAUUUGAGGAGAAAACAAGGUAAACAGCGAGUGAUGUCCUGUACCGAUGGCAAACAGCCUCCAGCCACUGUGCUGCUUUGGCCCUAUGCAAAAAUAAAAAAAUUAAAAGAAAAUUAGUAUAUCUGGAUACAUUACAAGUUUAGUAAAACCCCUCAGGAUGAGGAGAAGCUUUGUCAUUCAACUUGCAGAAUUGCUCGAGAAGAGACACUAACUAAUCUGUAACUGAUUUACACUCGCUGGAGGUAUCUUGUCAAAAUGUGCCCAAAUUUUAUGUGGCUCUCUUUUCUCAAGAGGAACGUGCUACACAUUUUUCACAGGCUGGUAAUUUAAUAAAGCAAGUUUUUCGUUUGGAAAGUGCAGAGAAGGUAAUUUUUACUGACCUCCAGGCUGGCAGAAUGGCAAUUAAUAUCAGCCGCAGCUCUAGGCUGUGAUCUAUUGCCCCGAUGGACACGCCGAGCAGGCGCGGGGGCUCAUUACAUGUGUCUCAGCUGGCCCUGGGCUACCCACGGCCAGGCACCGGCGCUGGGAGAGCUCCAGGCCUGGGACAGUCUCUGUGCACACCGGGUCGGAAUACUUCAGUUCCUUUCCCACCUCUGUCCCUGCUCCACGUCUCUGGCCGCGUCCUUCCCUGUCUUCUGCACGUGGCGCUGGCUCUCGUGGCUGCACCAAUCCACCGGGCUGUGGUGACCGCUUCACCUUGACAGCUGCUUUGAAGAACAGCAAAUAAUUACAUCCCACUGUUCCCUCUUAACGCAGAUCUUCAUUUGCUGUAAUUACAUGACCAUUCUGAUUUAUUUUUUUUUAAUUGUAACAGCAGCACGGAAGGGGUGACAGGCUCCUUGUCACCCCCCCACCCACAUCACUCCCAUUGAGGAGGAACGUGAGGUGGCAUCGCACAUCGUUUUCCUAAUCAUGUCAUACCACCAGAACACCUUGCUACAACCACAAGCGCUGGGUGCCAGGUGGCAGCAGCACUGCUGCCAGGAGUGAAUUCAUUAUUUUAAUUAAAAAGAGGCUCUCCAGCUCUCAGAGCAUCCCUUUGGCAGCAGGAAAGCACCUGAGAGCAGCGGGCGUCUCUGUGCCCUAGCAGUGGGCUAUAAGCAUCCUCACUUCGGGGGUGCCAGCUCCAUGCAUCCCCAAGAGUUUCUUGGCCUGAGUUGUGACUGAUUUUCCUAGACCACUCUUUGCAGACCUGGGAAGCAGCAAAAAUCACUGCAGAGGGCCAUCUGUGAGGUCACUUGCUGAAGGUGAGUAUUUUAAAAGCACUAUUUAUGCAUGAGCACAUGGAAAUAGCUCAGAAACCAUUUGAAGAGGGUGUGUGCGUAGCUGGCUCCCAAGCAGGAAAAAAAAGGGCCAAAACCCACCAAAGUAAGUAUUCCCUGAGGAUAUUUCACUUGUUUAAAGCUUUGGAAGGGCCAAGGGAACAGGUCCAGUCUCUCCCUCUCCAGAAAAUGAUCCACAUAUUUUUUUAUAUCUGUACUUGGGACAAGCCACCCAAUUAUUCUCCGCUUAUCUCCCUGCCCUUUCAACGCCCUCAUUUCCAGAAAAUGCUGCUGUAAGUUUAUUUGGUCUCAGCUCCCAGCAUUGCUCCCCUGAGCUGCUUCGAUUCAGUCCCAUAUUUUGCCAGUGCCCAGCAGGAUUUGCAGCAGCCCAUCUCCAUCCCUCAGACCUCCUGAACACAGCGCUGGCUGGGGCUCCACAAAGCUCUUCCACAGCUCUGCGGGUGUCCCCUGGGGAGCAACGUCCCACCGUGGGGUGCUGGUGGCGCUUUUAGGUCCCAGGCCAUGGGGUCUGCUCUGCCAGGAACCGUCAGCCCCUGUGAAACUGCCAUUGCCCUGCACACCCAGGAACAGACACAUGAAACAACGAAUUUGAGAAGGUGAGGAACAAAAAAGGUACAUUUUGCUGUGGGGAAAAAUGUUUCUGGUUUGUGACUGUGGUUGUUUCCCAGGGCCCAUCUCACUGCUCAUCCCCAAAUUUCCCGCCGAUCCUGCUUCUGCCAACUGGCAGCUCCAUCCCUUCACCAGCCCAAGGAGGGUUUAUCUGUUAUUCAUCACUGCACAUCAAUUGCCUGCUAGGCUGCCAGGGUGGUCCCUGGUUUCUGCACAGUUUCAGCCUUUUUCAGGGCCUGGCUGCUGGAAGGACAUGGCACGAGCAUCACCUGAACUGACACUGCCUUUGGGGACGUCGUCCAGGCAGAACCCAGACUCCAAAAAUCAUCGCUACGAAAGAAAUGUCUAGAGAGUGGACCUGAGUUUUUUUAACCCUGGAGUACAAGGGAUGAGGACACUGCCUGUGCCUUCUAGCAGCUGGCUAUGAUGGUGUUGAUGCAUUGGGAUGGGGUUUAGGUGGCAUCACUCUGGGUGAGACCUUUUACCACUGAACAUGCCUGAGAGGGUAACUGAAAAGCUGCUCAUCACUGGCUGCAGAGAAAUCCCUUUAUCACACCCGGACGCCGGGUACCGUCCCCCGGAGGGCAGGCGGGAUGGAGAGCACCCGGGCUGGCAGAGGAACGGCUCCCACCUACUUGGGGAAAAUCUGAAUUUCUGCAGACAUGAAAUCUUCUCUAAAAGGGUCGAUCAGGAACCUCUGAGACUGAAACACCUUUGGGCAGCUUUCCCUCCCCUGCUCCUCUGGAUGCUCCAAUUGCCUUGUGUACCAAACUGUGCUCUGUUCAUAGCGUUGUCCCUGCAGCCUUGCUAUCUCUUUUGAUCAUUUUUAUCCCCACUUCUGUGCUGUUUCCAGGGGAUGCUGACUAGGUGGCUUUUUCUAUCAUGGUCCUUCAUCUAAUCCCCCAGGACUGAAGUCAUGUGUGUUGUGCAGAAACUUGUUCCAGCAGUUUGAAUGUGGAGCUGUUCUCUGUUGUCUGGAGGUAAAAAUCAGUGAGUGAAAUACAGCCACAACUCUGGCUUGAAUUAGCCAGCAGUUCAUGUAGGACAUAAAAAUCUGUGAGGCGCAAAGCAGGUAAGGUCUGUGAGGGACUUUUCGAGACCGUCUCCACUCAUUAAAAGCUACUUCCAGGUCAUGGCCUCCUAAGAUUUCAGACACGCAAAUUCGCUUAAUUUCUGCUAGGAAAAGCAGCUAGAGCUCCAGUGCCCCAUUGGCCAGGCCCCGUUUUAGAGCAGUCAGUGUGGGAGCAGGUUUUAAGGUGCCUCCUAAUGCUGCGUCCCAAACAUGUCCUUGAGAGUUCGACAUGACCUGUGGGGUGCUCAGCCCCCUGAAAAUCCCGCUGUGAAAGAAAAGCUCAGCACGCAUCACCAGGCAAGGUUCACUGUGAACCAGCUGCAGCAAGGCGUAGAUAACUCAGGUAUAAAUAUGCUUUAAAAAGGCGACUAAAAAGAUCUAUCAAGACUUGCAUUAAUCUGCGCUUUGUCCUGCCAGCUCACCCUCAAUGCGCACGCAUCCAGGGAAACAGAGGGAGGAGAAAGUACAGGGGUUCUGAGUUAAAUAUUUACCACCGAUGCUGUUAAUGACUAUGUGUUUCUUUCUCAUGGAUGCAGGAAAAUGGGCCUGGGAUGAGGAGUUAGGGAUAAGACUUGCCGUUGCUGGCGGCUGUUUGCAGCAGUGGCACCGCACGCCUGAAGCAGCCCUGCUUCACCCCUCACUCUGUGUUUUGUUAGCAAAGCUCCAGAAGAUGCUACAAUCCCUGAGCUAAACUGCCGGAUUUAGCUGUGGGACCUCGUUCUGACCCCAUGUGUGUACAUGGCUGCCCCAGAUGGAGCCGGGCAUGGGGGUGAAGGCUAAACAACAUCAACCCCAUGGCCAUUCCUGUGGGGAGAGCUCCCUGAGGACAUUUCCUCUCCACCUCAUGGCCACGGUGGACGUGGAGGGUUUGCACAAGAGCUUCCAAAACAGCACCACAGCACUUCAUCCAUAAUUGAAUGAACGAGGCAAAAAUAGGUAGCAGUUUGCUCACAAAGGGGAGUUGUGCGGAGUCCUAGAGAAGAGGCAAAUCACUUGGAUAAUGGGUAACAUUGUGAGCUGUUGCUCUCGCAUGGACUUUGUUUCUCUGUAAGAAGAGACCAGGAUGGGUAGCACAGGGGAGUCCUCAAGGUGUUCGCACCCCCAGCGUGGCUGGGGGCUGCUGUGGUCUUGUCCUGUGUUUUUGUGUCACCAUGUGCACUCCACUGGGGAAAUCCCUCUCUGCCACAGCUACAAAGCAUCGUCCAGGAUGUGCUUCCCUAUUUUUUGGCAAUAUUCUUUGACGCAAGGGAGGUCAGCCCAGGGCAGAGGGAUGCUUGGGAUGGGUACUCGGGUACUGCUGAUUAUGGCUCGAAAUGAAAUUUGUUAGCAAACCGUUUCUAAUUACCGGCGCUUUCAUGCGCCAACUGUCGCACACGCGUGAUGCCAGGCUGUGCCGGCGGCCGGCUGGGCGCCAGGGAUGGAGAGCAUCACGGCCCCAGCACGGCCCCUGUCCCCGCAGCUCCAGCCUGGCGCUGCCCUGCGGGAAGAGGACGGGUUUGCAAAGACUUUGUGAUUUCCCGCUAUUGGGCACUAAAUUGGGCUUCUGAUCCUCUCUGAAACACGCUCGCUUCCUCAGGAGAGCCCUCAGCCAUAAGGAACCUGUCAGACCUUUCAGGUACAGAGGUGCCAAGUUAAUAAAAAUUGUCUAUGAA
This is a long non-coding RNA of Columba livia (rock pigeon), 16346 nucleotides long. RefSeq lists it as uncharacterized. NCBI's taxonomy places the organism in Eukaryota, Metazoa, Chordata, Aves, Columbiformes, Columbidae. The transcript has 8 exons. The record is from RefSeq and is a predicted model, not a curated record.